RNAcentral lists this unclassified non-coding RNA (1019 nucleotides) under Hevea brasiliensis (rubber tree). Lineage: Eukaryota; Viridiplantae; Streptophyta; Magnoliopsida; Malpighiales; Euphorbiaceae. The record is from RNAcentral.
UAAAAAUCUUAUCAAAGAGUUAGAGCUCCCCGUGCCUGAUUGGAACGAGAAAUGGAUUGAUGUCUAUUUGGACAUCAGUGUAAAAUUGCUCGAUAUCUGUAAUGCUGUUAGCUCAGAGCUAUCACACUUGAACCAAAGCAACCUCAUGCUCCGAUGCAUCACCCAUAAUUUGGAUUCUGCUGAGUCAAAGCGACUUGCACGAGCUCGUGCUUCCUUAGAAGAAUGGAGACUGAACAUCAGCACCACAAGUCCUAGAAUUAAGAAUUGUUGUGUAAUCUUAGACAGCCUUGGAGAAUCACUUGAUCUUCCAAAAGUUAAGAACUCUGCCAAAGGCAAGGUUUUGAUGCGUGCUUUGUACGGGGUGAAGGUACAGACAGUUUUUGUGUGCAGUGUCUUUGCCUCAGCCUUUUUAGGCUCCCCAAAGCUCUUUGAUCUGGAUAUAGCCGAUACAUAUUCGUGGGGACAAACUUUCUCCUCCUUGCAAAAUGAUGUAAAUAGUGAAAUUAGAAGUAUAUACACACGUGGAAAGUUUACCCCUCUGAAGGAGCUUGAGGCUAUUGAUCAAUGUGUAGGCAAUCUCCAUCAAAUGAUCCCAAAGAAUCCAGAAGUUGAGGAAGUUCAACCGCUGAAGAACACCGUAUCAGAGUUGGGAGGAAAGGCAGAGAAACUAUCAGAAGGUCUACAUUUGCUGACAAAGGAAGUCGACAACUUUUUCCAGAUUGUUUUGGAAGGACGUGAUGCUUUGCUAUCAAACCUAAGGGGUCGUUAAAUCAUAUGGAGCCGAUCCAAGGAAUGAAACAGGCGAUCAGACGAUUACGGUGGAGCUAAACUUAAACCUGUGUACAGGGAUGGGUUGGUCUCUCUUGUGUUUCCACAGAAAUAUAUUAACUAACCAUAGUGUAGUGUAAUAAUGUAGUCAUUAGUUAUUUGCAAAUGUUUUUGGGUUGUAUUUCUAGUUACGGUGUCGUGUAAAAUUGAACUUUGAAAUGGAAAUGUGUAGUAUGGGGUUUCUAUGUUUG